GCGGAAAUAGCUUAAUUGGCUAAAGCGUAGCCUUGCCAUGGCUAAGAUUGAGGGUUCGAGUCCCUUUUUCCGCU
RNAcentral lists this transfer RNA (74 nucleotides) under Jakoba bahamiensis. RNAcentral describes it as "tRNA-Gly". It matches the Rfam family "tRNA". Rfam says of the family: Transfer RNA (tRNA) molecules are approximately 80 nucleotides in length. Their secondary structure includes four short double-helical elements and three loops (D, anti-codon, and T loops). The record is from RNAcentral. Lineage: Eukaryota; Jakobea; Jakobida; Jakobidae.